Molecule: ribosomal RNA, 123 nt
Filed under: Pseudopithomyces chartarum
Lineage: Eukaryota; Fungi; Ascomycota; Dothideomycetes; Pleosporales; Didymosphaeriaceae
Description: partial 28S ribosomal RNA
Source: RNAcentral
CGCGUGGACUCGCCCCAAAUUCAUUGGCAGCGGUCCUUGCCUCCUCUCGCGCAGCACAUUGCGCUUCUCGAGGGGCUACGGCUCGCGUCCAACAAGCACAUUUACCGUCUUGACCUCGGAUCA